UACGGAGGGGGCCAGCGUUGUUCGGAAUCAUUGGGCGUAAAGGGCGCCUAGGCGGCUGCGCAAGUCGGACGUGAAAGCCCCCGGCUCAACUGGGGAACUGCAUCCGAAACUGCGCGGCUUGAGGCCUGGAGAGGGUAGCGGAAUUCCCAGUGUAGCGGUGAAAUGCGUAGAUACUGGGAGGAACACCGGUGGCGAAGGCGGCUACCUGGACAGGUUCUGACGCUGAAGCGCGAAAGCGUGGGGAGCAAACAGG
RNAcentral lists this ribosomal RNA (253 nucleotides) under uncultured bacterium. RNAcentral's name for it is "partial 16S ribosomal RNA". It matches the Rfam family "Bacterial small subunit ribosomal RNA", at positions 524 to 776 of the family's 1533-position model. The record is from RNAcentral.